GUAGGUGGCAAGCGUUGUCCGGAUUUAUUGGGCGUAAAGGGAACGCAGGCGGUCUUUUAAGUCUGAUGUGAAAGCCUUCGGCUUAACCGGAGUAGUGCAUUGGAAACUGGAAGACUUGAGUGCAGAAGAGGAGAGUGGAACUCCAUGUGUAGCGGUGAAAUGCGUAGAUAUAUGGAAGAACACCAGUGGCGAAAGCGGCUCUCUGGUCUGUAACUGACGCUGAGGUUCGAAAGCGUGGGUAGCAAACAGGAUUAGAUACCCUGGUAGUCCACGCCGUAAACGAUGAAUGCUAGGUGUUGGAGGGUUUCCGCCCUUCAGUGCCGCAGCUAACGCAAUAAGCAUUCCGCCUGGGGAGUACGACCGCAAGGUUG
This 371-nucleotide ribosomal RNA is filed under the name uncultured bacterium. RNAcentral's name for it is "bacterial SSU rRNA". It matches the Rfam family "Bacterial small subunit ribosomal RNA", at positions 527 to 896 of the family's 1533-position model. RNAcentral also lists the same sequence under 1 other name. The record is from RNAcentral.